This 328-nucleotide ribosomal RNA is filed under the name uncultured eukaryote. Its description in RNAcentral is "partial 18S ribosomal RNA". It matches the Rfam family "Eukaryotic small subunit ribosomal RNA", at positions 1470 to 1796 of the family's 1831-position model. The record is from RNAcentral.
CCCUUAGAUGUCCUGGGCCGCACGCGCGUUACACUGAUGCAUUCAACGAGCUUAUAACCUUGGCCGAGAGGCCUGGGCAAUCUUGUUAACGUGCAUCGUGAUAGGGAUAGAUUAUUGAAAUUAUUAAUCUUGAACGAGGAAUUCCUAGUAAACGCAGAUCAUCAAUCUGCAUUGAUUACGUCCCUGCCCUUUGUACACACCGCCCGUCGCACCUACCGAUUGGAUGGUCCGGUGAAGCCUCGGGAUUGUGGUUCUUGCCGCUUUAUUGUGGCGUGACCGCGAAAACUUGUCUAAACCUUAUCAUCUAGAGGAAGGUGAAGUCGUAACA